Molecule: ribosomal RNA, 253 nt
Filed under: uncultured prokaryote
Description: partial 16S ribosomal RNA
Rfam family: Bacterial small subunit ribosomal RNA
Source: RNAcentral
UACGUAGGUGGCAAGCGUUGUCCGGAUUUAUUGGGUUUAAAGGGUGCGUAGGUGGUUUUUUAAGUCAGUGGUGAAAUACGGCAGCUCAACUGUCGAGGUGCCAUUGAUACUGGGAGACUUGAGUACUGAUGAGGUAGGCGGAAUGGACGGUGUAGCGGUGAAAUGCUUAGAGAUCGUCCAGAACACCGAUAGCGAAGGCAGCUUACUAAGGAGUAACUGACACUGAGGCACGAAAGUGUGGGGAUCAAACAGG